This 641-nucleotide long non-coding RNA is filed under the name Equus asinus (donkey). RNAcentral's name for it is "lncRNA (ENSEASG00005031903.1)". The record is from RNAcentral. Lineage: Eukaryota; Metazoa; Chordata; Mammalia; Perissodactyla; Equidae.
GACCUCUGACGUGAUUUUCAGAUACAAAUCUACAAGGAUACUACAGAGGCCAUAUCCAGGUUAGCAUUGUCUGUUUCUCUGUCAGAACAAAUGCCUUUACCCACAGUUAUCAGAAAACCUCGCUCCACGUUUGGAGUGGCUUUUGCUGUUUGGUUGGUGCGUUGGUUUAACAAGGUCCCUGAGGUCCACUUUCACUUCAUCUCUCUGCUUUGCUGUCCCCAGGAGAUGCUUCAUUUUGUGGCCUCUUCCCUUCAGGGUUAUACAACGUGGCCUGCAGCUUCAUCAUUCCCAUUUGAACUGGGAGAGAAAGGCUUCCUGUGACUUUCCCAGAAGAGCCAGGAAGACAUUUUCUAGGAAUCCUCUGCUCCUCGUAUCCUUCAGUCUGAGUGGUGGAUGGAGAUAUCAUUUUACUGAUAAAAGAGCCGGUGACCUUCGAGGACGUGGCUGUGGCCUUCACGGAGGAGGAGCUGGGGCUGCUGGAUGCCUCCCAGAGGCAGCUGUACCGGGAUGUGAUGCUGGAGAACUUCUGGAACCUGCUCUCUGUGGGACAACCACCUUUCAAACCUGGUAAGAUAUCUCAUUUGGAACAAGACAGAGAGACCUGGGUGACCGAGAGAGAAGCUCCAAGAGGUGCACAUCCA